Molecule: ribosomal RNA, 514 nt
Filed under: uncultured bacterium
Lineage: Bacteria
Description: partial 16S ribosomal RNA
Rfam family: Bacterial small subunit ribosomal RNA
Source: RNAcentral
GAUGAACGCUGGCGGCGUGCCUAAUACAUGCAAGUCGAGCGAACUGAUUAGAAGCUUGCUUCUAUGACGUUAGCGGCGGACGGGUGAGUAACACGUGGGCAACCUGCCUGUAAGACUGGGAUAACUUCGGGAAACCGAAGCUAAUACCGGAUAGGCUCUUCUCCUUCAUGGGAGAUGAUUGAAAGAUGGUUUCGGCUAUCACUUACAGAUGGGUCCGCGGUGCAUUAGCUAGUUGGUGAGGUAACGGCUCACCAAGGCAACGAUGCAUAGCCGAGCGGAGGCGGUUCGCGGCCACUCUGAGGUUGACACACGGCCCAGACUCCGCCGGAAGGCAGCCGUAGGGGAUGUUACGCAAUGGCCGAAAGUCUGACGGGGCAACGUCGCGUGGGUGAUGAGGGCUUUCGGGUCGUAAAACUCUGUUGUUAGGGAAGAAUAAGUACGGGAGUAACUGCUCGUAACGUGAGGGUACCUAACCAGAAAGCCACGGCUAACUACGUGCCAGCCGCCGCCGUAA